GACGAACGCUGGCGGCGUGCUUCACACAUGCAAGUCGAACGAGAAGCUCACUUCGGUCAGCGGAAAGUGGCGGACGGGGGGGGAACAUGUAGGUAAGCUGCCUUUAGGAGGGGGACAACAGAGGGAAACUUCUGCAAAUACCUCAUACCAACGUAUCUGAGAUGUUAUUCUUGAAAACGUUGGUGUCUCUAGAUGGGACUGCAUAUGCUUAGCAAGUUGGUAGUGUAAUGGACUACCAAGGGGACGAUCAGCAGCUGGGUUGGGAGGAUGAGCAGCCACAAUGGGACUUAGACACGGGCCAAGAUCCUUCGGGAGGGAGCAGGAGGGGAUUAUGCGCCAUGGGCGGAAGCCUGACGCAGCAACGCCGCGUGAACGGUUGAGGCCUUCGGGGUGUAAAGUUCUGUUAGUGGGGACGAAACUUGACGGUACCCACAGAGUAAGCACCGGCUAACUCCGUG
This 458-nucleotide ribosomal RNA is filed under the name uncultured bacterium. RNAcentral describes it as "partial 16S ribosomal RNA". It matches the Rfam family "Bacterial small subunit ribosomal RNA", at positions 28 to 507 of the family's 1533-position model. The record is from RNAcentral.